This 1541-nucleotide long non-coding RNA is filed under the name Equus caballus (horse). RNAcentral's name for it is "lncRNA (ENSECAG00000052315.1)". Lineage: Eukaryota; Metazoa; Chordata; Mammalia; Perissodactyla; Equidae. The record is from RNAcentral.
CUUAGAACAAAUAUGAAAACCUUUGCGCUAUAUGGAAGGGAGAAUUUGCUCAAGCCUUCCCUCAUUCCACCCCAGCCCUGGGCCCCACUCAGCUGGGUACACAUCACCUUGGACUAGCCAUGGAUCAACUGCUCAGGAGCCACAUUUGCUCAGCGGCUUCCUCAUGAAGAAUUCCUUUGCAGAAUUUGAGACAUGGCGAAAGGAUUAGUGUCAGUAUUGGGGGCGGAAGCAGAGAGACACACAGAAGGAGAAUUCUAAGUAGAAGCCUUGAGUCAACAUUGGCCAUGGGUGAGUAGGAGGCAUGAAUUCACAGAAAUUAUGAGUCAGCAGAAACGGAUAGAGCAUGGAGUGGGGGUAGCAGAGGAAGAAGCCAAGACCCAGAGACGCUGAGUCACCGCGAUGGCGGUACCCAGGGUACCGAGCGAGGAGGCCCCCUGAGUGGGGCGCCUGAGAGUGCUCCCACUGAGUUACAGAGCUGCUGUGGGGCGGCUGGAGUUACUGCUGUAACCCGAAACUCUUCCAGCCUCUGGGAGCCCUGGUUGGGUGGCUAAAACUUUGGUCUUCCUAAUCUCCUAAUGAACUCGAGGUUGUUUCCCUUCCUUGCAACCUGCAAGAACCUGACCUGUACACCAGCCAUGUCCAAACUCCUCUGAGACUCAGUUGCCUCCCCUGGGAAAUGGGGACAGCUGUUGCUUUGGGUUGUUCAGCAUGUCUUGCUGGGGUGAUGACUUUUGUCUGACACUUUGCAGUUCUGGGCCUGCCAGUCAUGGGAGCACCCCCCGACAAGGUGGCCGUGUAAUCCAGGCUGGCCCUGUCAGACUCUCCAGGGCAGAGAUUUGCUUCGGAAGCAGAGACACCUCUGGAGCAGGGUUGGAACCCCCGAGAUUGUUCCUGGGUUCCUCUGGCUGGGAUCUUCUGAGCCAUCCUGGUUCCUGUUUUCCAAGGCCUGUUUAUUCGGGAGUUUCCCAAUUGCCUUGACAGAUCCCCUAUUCCUGUUUGAGCAAUAACAUAGACUGGACCCACACUGUGCAAGGUUGCUCUGAAGUGAAAUAAGUGACUCCUAGACAGGCCCUCCUGUCUGUUGUUCCCUCCCUGUGCUCUCGCUCCACCUGACACGUCUCCAAUGCUUACCUAACAUCUCUGGGCUCAGUGUCCCCGAAGUAGCCCAGUGUUUUCCCCCUUUGAGAGAAGACGCUAAGCCUAAACCAGCCCCCAGUGUGCCGUGGGCUUUGCCUAGUCCUUGCCAGGUGCCUCUUCCUCACACUUCAGCUUCUCUUCUGCAUAAUGUGAGAAUAGGGGGUGACUCUGGGAUCCACGUCAAAUGAGGGCUCCUCUCUGCAGUACCACAGCACUCCCUGUAGGCGGCAGCAUAUGACCACAAAUGUCCUGGAGUGUCGGUCCAGAGCUCAAGACGAGACUGAAGAGAGGUCUUGGCCAGACGCUGCGGAAGAGCGUUUGUUAGCUUGAGGAGCGGAGGGUGCGGGAGGGAGCGGGAAGGAAGGUGGGCGUGUCGCUGGCCUUGAGGCAAAAAGAGACUGGGU